Panicum virgatum (switchgrass) is the source of this 683-nucleotide long non-coding RNA. RefSeq lists it as uncharacterized. Lineage: Eukaryota; Viridiplantae; Streptophyta; Magnoliopsida; Poales; Poaceae. The record is from RefSeq and is a predicted model, not a curated record. The transcript is spliced from 3 exons.
GUAAUAUGAUACUUCUAUCUCUGCAUAGUUCAGUAGUCGUAAUUGUUAUGGAUCAAGCUUAAUUAUGCGCUUAGUACCUAAAUUUACUUCUAUUGAGUACCCUUGCUCUGUUGUGACUUGUGUCCAGAGUGUGUCGUCAUGAUCAUCAUGCUGCAUAGCUCUACAGUUCUCAAAUAUAUCAGUAUGAAGAUGUCCCUUUGUGCAUUGUGUUUCCAAUCAUUAGCAAGUACUUGAACUCAUAUAUUAGCAUCAUACCACUGUGGUUGUUGAUUUUAAUAGUCAGUUCAGUUUAACAUGUAUCCAUUUGUGAUCUCAAUAUGCCAUGAAUGCUUGGCAUAAGCUGGAUGAGGCCUACAGAAGAAGCUAUGCAGGAGUACAUCACAAUAGUUGAUGAGCUAUUCCCUAACUGGGCUGCUGGUUCGGGCAUGAGAAGGAAAGAUGAAGAUAGCAUGGCUUCUGCAUCAGGUUCGAAGGGACCCAUGGGACCUGUCUUCAGCAGUUUCAUGUACGAGGAAGAUGAAGGAAAUGAAGCUUGUCACAGGUCCUCCUGAGGAUUCUUCUGCUCAUGGAAUUUUGUUACAAACACAAAAUAUCAUUCAUGGAGAAUUCCUUUUUCGUUCCAGUAUUUUGGAACCUCAUGAAAGAACUAUAGGUCUUUGCCAACAAAGCUUCCUUUGAUUCUA